GACAGUGAGUGAUUUUGAGACAUUUUGAAUAACAUUGAGUCAAAUUGAGCCACUCUCGUUACUCAGAAUUUCUCAAUCUUCACAAAGGACGUAACGAAUUUUGACACUGACAUUUCGAAUCUGACAGUGGCAGUUCGCACACCAUAAAAACAAUUUCGUGCGGAUUUUUUUCCGCGCCACAAUUAAAUCGACGGAACAAGUUACCUGGUUCUAGUAGGCAAUUCCGUUCCACGAUGGAUGACGUGGUAGGUUCCACCGGGAGAAGAACAGGACACGAUUUCUUUUCAGAUGGUUGGCCGGAACUGCCUUGCUGGAACCGACACGAAAGAGCUAGGUAUCGGCUACUGGUGGUCCGGAAUCGGAAACUGUCACCGCAGGAAGCUCUCACAGUUUCGUAGUCGAAGGUAACGGCUCCGUUGCCAGAUUUAUUUGCCAAACUUGACAUUAAAAUAGCUAAGCUCUCUUUUACUCUGUAGGAGAAUGAAAUUACCGAUAAAAGCCAUCGGGAAGAGUGACGGUUUUAGCAGGUAAUUAUGAUCAAGAUCGGCAAGGAAACGGAUAAGGAGAAGGCUAACCAUAAUUCGCAACCCGAGCUCGACGCGGAAAAAGCGGGCCAACGCCACCGACCGUACUCAAAACAAGUUGGACCAAUUUGACCUGGAGCUCUGGCGAAUAUGUUCAUUGAGGCGGAAGAAAACAAAAUGGUUAGAACAGCGCGAAGGUCAACGAUGGUCAUUGAGAAACAGAGACAAGCAUCAACGUCUUACAAUGUAAAUCACUCACUUUAAAAUAAAACUAAGUAUAAUUUAAUAAGAAUCAUUAAUCUUUUAAUGCAUAUCCCAAUUAAAAGCACCUUCUCUCGGGGCAAUAAUUUCCAGGUUCCGGAACACUACCAUAGCAACAAGCUUAUUGACCCAUGGUUCAUCCGAUAUGUAAUAUUCCUUGUAAUAUUCAGUCUUCAAUCGUACCGGUGACCAGCGUCGCGUUUCCUUGGCACAGCACCACAAGUGACCAGCCAUUGCCGGACGCCAAAGGUGAUCUCAUCUCGAUCGGGAUGAUUCGCCUUUUCGGGAAGUUCUUUUGAUCGAUCAUUUUGGCCAGACGUUGUGGGUAUUGACGGCGUGUUACGACGGUUGGCGAUUCGUUCGAUAAACAGCUUUGAGUUUGGCCAAGUUACAGAAGCCGUCCAAGACAGGUUCCAACCUUGAACUUAAAAUUUGGGCCGCUCUCCUUUGUUCCACCGGAAAGUUGCUAUUUCCAAAGCGCCUAGGAGAACUAUCAGUAGCCGCAAUGGGUGUAGCCCCCGGUAGGCCACAAUUUACUGCCAACUGGUCACCAGCAAUGUCGGAGCCAAAGUCGGAGCGGUUGAGUUUGCGGGAGCCAGCUUGCCACCAUGUUGAGAAACGCCUCGUGGCCGCAUUUGACGAUCUCGAGCCGCACCAUUCCUUGGAACUGCAUCAUCGUCGCCGGGUUAUCACUCCGGAAUGGUUUCGUCCACUGCGGAAUCAACUCAAAAUAGCGGAACUUGCGCAGCAUCUCGGCAGAUUUCGAGCUGAAAAAUAUGUCCUAACCAAACAUUUUUGUUAACACGCACAUCUGUCAAAAUGUACAUUCAAUCAUUCCGUAACCUGGUUUAAAAUCGUUCAGGAGAAAAAUUGAGUAACUUUGAGUAACAUUGAGUCAAUUUGAGAAUUUGAGUCACUCAGUUACUCACUGUCCUACCCCUUGAGCGGAACCCAAUCAGAUAAGCUGCUUAGAAAAUUUCGAAGCAAUUUUCGAAGCGGAAUUCGAAGCGGAAUGAACCCGUCUUGCGGAAAACGGUUUGAUUGGGCUGUUUUUCGAAUCGAACUUUUUUCGCUCAAGCGGAAUUCUAAACGGAAUUCAAACGGAAUGCGCUGAGUGGUUAUCAGUGUCCGGGAUUUGAAGCACAACAAUUAAGGUAUUUUAGUUAUGAAAUUCUGAUGAAAAAUGUUUAGAAAAGACAUAUUUUGCAUGAAUUCUCUUAAAAUUGAUUAUUUCAUCUACAUCCUGAUGAUAUUUCUACAUUUCCAACUUAUUACAUGAGAUUUUGCCAGCUAUAACAAAGAUGAUAUCGACGACACGACAAGCCACUCGGGUCCAAAAAGUGGGUACCAAAUCGGCUUACCCCUCCGUUUCCUCGGGAACUGGAAAUGUCAAAGUGGAAACGUCAAAAAAAAUUCAAAAAAAAUCUUGUAUUUGGCAGCACUGGCUAGGUGACGGCGAGAAAUGUCAUUUUGACAAAACAUUUUAUUAUUUUUUUCAAGAUUUUUUUCGUGAUCAGCCUUCUUCGGCCACCAGUUGCUAGACCUGGGAGAAAAGUUACUUCCUGCGGCCUCCGUAUGUACCGGGGCCACGUCCAGUACCGGCCAACCUACGAUAGUGUUCCAAUCACCGUUCAGCUCAGGAACGGACGUCGCCGUCUUUGACACGACGCCGCGGGGUAGCGUAGUGAAACGAGUUCUUUCCGCUCCGAUAUUAACGAGUUUCCAUGGUUGGCCAUGCAGGAGUACGAGAAUUUUCGGGGGAGCGCAAGUUCAGCUGUGAAGUUAAGCUGAUCAACAACCGCUACGUAGUCAUGGCGGCACAUUGAGUGGAUGGGGAAGUCGGAAGAAGGAGGAAAUGCUAUUCAGCGUAGUACAACAAAAUGACCAAGAUCGACUGCAUCGAGCAGGGCGGCGAGAAGAUUUGUGCUGAUCCACCGGUGGACGUGGAAUUGGAGGAGAAGAUCCCCCACCCGGAGUACAACGAACUGAGCAAGCUAAACGAAUUUUCGCUGUUACGGAUGGCUCGGGACGUCCUGUAAACUGCCGAUAUUUCUGCCGUGGCCGGACAUUGGAGUUCGGUGGCCGGUGACGUAAAUUUUGUAACCGGAUUCGGGCGCACGCUGAAGGGCAGCCGCAAUCCAAUUAAGCAGUGCCCACACCAACGAAACAGCUGUGCGCCGGCGGAGACCAAGGAUUCGUGAAACGGAGAUUCAGGUUGUCCGUUGAUGAAGCUGAAGAAGAUUUGGACGCAGGAGGGUGUGAUAUCUUACGGGAAUCACUGCGGCCUCGAGGAUUGUCCCCGGAUUUACUCGAGGGUGCUCGCGUACAUGGACUAAUUUAUUGUGGUCGUAAUGGCGAGUCUUGGUGGUGGUGUUGGAAUGGUCGUAGGAGUGCAACCUUUUGUUACAAACGGUAUUGUGUGACCUCCUAUGCUGCAGUUCAAAAAUAUUAAGCUAAGAAAAGUAGAUUUUAUAAAAGCUCAAACAAGUGAAGUUCAACAGUAAUGAUGAAAUUAUUGAGAAAACGAUUUACUUUUUUAUUUAUCUUCUACGACGCUCCCUUUAAUGAAGACUCAGAGCUCAUUAAAGUGAUUCUGACUUCUUCUGCCUCUACUACCACAUCCAGAUCAAAGGCGUCGUAGUGUCGUAGUCCCCGCAGGUAGGCCUUCUUGCCGUCCAGUGGCAUCAUGGUGUUGGUCUUGGUUGGUCACCCUGAUGUCACACAGUUGCUUGUCCGCGGCCUAGACGCCCAGCUUGUUCGGUUGGUCAUCAUCGAUGAAACGACGAUCCGUAACAUUAACCACAAAAAAAAGAUGUUCGCCUUGUUGAAUUGUCCUACACCCUCCCAAAUUACCAAGAUAUUGCGACGUUCCUGCGAGUGCGUUCCGGAACCGGUUUGACAACAGCUAUGCCUAACAUUUUGAACACCGAAAUCGUGCUCGGCACGAUUCAGAACGUUGCUGGAGCACUUCCGCGCCAAUCUUGUGCACACGACAGCCUUGCAUCUGGAGAGAAGCGGCCGCAUCAAAUACAACCGCAAAAGUGACCACUUCCAGAUCACCGAAGUUGGUCAAAUCGCCCCUGAGUGCUACUGCACGCACGACACCAUGCUUAACUGCAACCAGCUGCUGAAGACGACGCUCAGCUAGAUUGAACAUUUCCGCGUGUUUUCGCUGUCUGGUGAGUCUGGAGUCCGCGAGGAGGAGAAACUCGAGCUGCAGAAGCUGAUGGAGCGGGUACCCGUCUGCUGCGUGCCAUCUACAAGAUCGUCCUACAUCGCGGGUGGGCCCAGCUGGCGGACAAGUGUUCAAUACUGUGCAAAAUGAUCGAUCGGCGCAUGUGGCAGAGCAUGCCCCGUUACGCCAGUUGCUAGAAAAGAUCGAGAAGAAGAUAGAAAAAAAACUUCCCGUGGGAGCGGCUGUACGAUCUAGAAGCGGACAAGAUUGGUGAGUUAAUUCGCGUUGCUGAAGCUGGGCAAGACCAUCUACAAGUACGUGCAUUAGUUUCCAAAGUAAGAGCUGUCCAAAAGUUCGUCGGCGAAGGUGCGGUGCGAUUGGUGCGCGAACUCGCCCCAUUGAUCAUCUGUAUGGACGAGAUCGAUUCCAUCGCAAUUCACCGUCAAUCCAAAGGUUUCAUAAGCCGGAACCAAUCAAGGCGAAGUCGUUUCGAAUUUGGCUUGAGGUCUUCUGCAGGACAAUUCUUAUUUUUGCUACGGAAGUUGUAGCAGAAUUGGAUGACUUAAAAGAUCAAUAGGUAUUUCUGCCUUUGAUGAAAGCAUUACUGUGAGACCCGGCUUAGGACCCAGCACUAUCAUUGCCUUGGAAGAUGCAGGGUCAUUGCGAAGGUUCCAAAACCCGACACGGGAAGCUUAUUCCCCUCUGAUUGCAGUCCAAGAUUGAUCCACCAGUUCCUGUUCAAGCUGACGCGACCCAAGUUCUGGCAUGCCUAGUAACGCAUACUGGUGAGUUCACGUACGACCCGGAACAAAAGCAGACUGACAGACCUGGUGGUUCCGUCGGCACUAAGCCCUUUUCAAGCGGGAGGCGACCAAGCUAGAGAAUGCGGCCUUGGUACGGUUCCUGGUGAGGAAACCUAAUUUCCGGUGCUACGAGCAGCACCGGAACAUCAUCCUGCCCAAGCUUCCGUGCUACUUCAGUCUCACCGAAGCGAUUCACACCCUCAAGUGGAUCUUCGGCCCUCAAACGUCCGAAAACAGCCUGCUGCUGGAAAACCUCCAAGGCGGGUUUUUGUAAGCGUCUGUUUCAUUCCGGUCCACGACCACACAUCAACAACCAACACUUCCCAUAUCCCGUUCCGUUGGCCUCAGUCAAACCAACUUGGUUACCGUGGCCAAGCGUUAAUAUUCCGAUAUCCGUCUCGUACUGGUCUAGCCUAGACAUCUCCCUUUCGCUCGUUUCCAUCCAGUCCAGGUCAGUCGGAUUACGUCGUACCCGGCCAAUACCGCAAAGUGGCCACUCUUCCGCGAAGGCGCACUGAUCGUUCUCAAAAACAAUCAACAAAAAACAGCUGAUUCCAAUCCAACAUAAAUAUUUACAAGCAAGCAGUGUUGCGAAAAAAGUUUAUUUUACGCAAUAACGAGGGGUCCUUCAAUUUUACCGUGACUUUGGACAUUCACGGUUGUUUCACGGUUCACGGUGCGGAACACUUUUUGCGAAGGUUUUUCCACCGAGUGUCUUGUCGUGUCGUCGAUGAUAUGCUACUAAGUGUCCGGAUUUCGAAUCAUGACGUUAUAACCAUUUCAACCGGUAACUUUAUUUUUGAGUGAAGGAUUGUCAUCUUACGAUUUAUAAAACAACUUAAUUUAUAAAAAAAAGUGUUAUGGUUUUCUCGCUAAAUUAAAUUGCUCAGGCUAUGAUGGUUUCAGAACAUAAUACAAUGUAAUCAUAUUUUUUUUUAAAGUUAAGUCUUAUAACCACAGACAACAGACGUAGCAGCUAGAACAACAUAAUUUGAAAAUCGUGUGUAAAAACACUAACGCAAUCUCGUAGUCUAUUGCUACUUGCAAGAAUAAGCCUGAAUGUAGACUGCAGUGCACUACAGUCUCCGCAGGAGCCGUCUUCUGAUUCUCACCAACUUAAUUUUGAUGAUACAUAGUUUUCUUUUUAAAUAAAUUUAAUUUUAUGCUCUGAAAUUAACUAACUUUUAUCUGAAGCGAUACUCAAAAUAAUUACUUUCGACAUUUCAAAACUAUUUUUGAUCAACAUACCAAUUUUCUGGACGAAAAGAGGCAUCAAACUUUUGAUGAGAGUGAGAAUACGGCCAAUCACGUGCUUUUCAAUGUUGUAGUUUACACUUAAGAGCAGGGCGAGAGAGUUGUCAAAUCUCCUCUGCGACGACAGCGCCACAAAUGGCUUGCCAUUCUCAAUAAAACCGUUGCAUGUUUUUACACAGGGGGAUGCUAAAGGCCGCCAUCUUGGCUGGUUGAGAUUAAUAACGCGCGCAAACUGCACACAGUGAAAACAAAAGUAUUGUUUUAUUAAUAAUUCAUUAUUUGUUAUAAGAAUUGCUGUAGAAAAACUCAAAUUACACAGUAGUUAAAUAAAACGUUUCAUGUGAUAAAAGUACAACUUUAAAUUAGGUCAUUGGCCCGAUGUGUGCUUAAUAAUCUUAACUUUAGUAGUUUAUUUUGCAAAUAAAUUGAUAAAAAUCAC
Molecule: long non-coding RNA, 6456 nt
Organism: Culex pipiens pallens (northern house mosquito)
Lineage: Eukaryota; Metazoa; Arthropoda; Insecta; Diptera; Culicidae
Exons: 2
Source: RefSeq, a predicted model, not a curated record